UACGUAGGGUGCAAGCGUUAAUCGGAAUUACUGGGCGUAAAGCGUGCGCAGGCGGUUUUGUAAGCCAGAUGUGAAAUCCCCGGGCUUAACCUGGGAAUGGCAUUUGGGACUGCAAGGCUGGAGUACGGCAGAGGAGACUGGAAUUCCUGGUGUAGCAGUGAAAUGCGUAGAGAUCAGGAGGAAUACCGAUGGUGAAGGCAGGUCUCUGGGCUGAUACUGACGCUCAUGCACGAAAGCGUGGGGAGCAAACAGG
This 253-nucleotide ribosomal RNA is filed under the name uncultured bacterium. RNAcentral describes it as "partial 16S ribosomal RNA". It matches the Rfam family "Bacterial small subunit ribosomal RNA", at positions 524 to 776 of the family's 1533-position model. The record is from RNAcentral.